AGUAAGAUCAGCUAAAAAAAGCUUUUGGGCCCAUACCCCAAAAAUGUAGGUUAAACCCCUUCUCUUACUA
This 70-nucleotide transfer RNA is filed under the name Hypoptopoma incognitum. RNAcentral describes it as "tRNA-Met". It matches the Rfam family "tRNA". Rfam says of the family: Transfer RNA (tRNA) molecules are approximately 80 nucleotides in length. The record is from RNAcentral. Lineage: Eukaryota; Metazoa; Chordata; Actinopteri; Siluriformes; Loricariidae.